UGGGGAAUCUUGGACAAUGGGGGCAACCCUGAUCCAGCCAUGCCGCGUGAGUGAUGAAGGCCUUAGGGUCGUAAAGCUCUUUCGCCUGUGAAGAUAAUGACGGUAGCAGGUAAAGAAACCCCGGCUAACUCCGUGCCAGCAGCCGCGGUAAUACGGAGGGGGUUAGCGUUGUUCGGAAUUACUGGGCGUAAAGCGCACGUAGGCGGACCAGAAAGUUGGGGGUGAAAUCCCGGGGGCUCAACCCCGGAACUGCCUCCAAAACUAUUGGUCUAGAGUUCGAGAGAGGUGAGUGGAAUUCCAAGUGUAGAGGUGAAAUUCGUAGAUAUUUGGAGGAACACCAGUGGCGAAGGCGGCUCACUGGCUCGAUACUGACGCUGAGGUGCGAAAAGUGUGGGGAGCAAAACAGGAUUAGAUACCCUGGUAGUCCACACCGUAAAACGAUGAAUGCCAGUCGUCGGGUAGCAUGCUAUUCGGUGACACACCUAACGGAUUAAGCAUUCCGCCUGGGGAGUACGGUCGCAAGAUUAAAAACUC
RNAcentral lists this ribosomal RNA (534 nucleotides) under uncultured bacterium. RNAcentral describes it as "bacterial SSU rRNA". It matches the Rfam family "Bacterial small subunit ribosomal RNA", at positions 355 to 902 of the family's 1533-position model. The record is from RNAcentral.